Molecule: long non-coding RNA, 241 nt
Organism: Symphalangus syndactylus (siamang)
Lineage: Eukaryota; Metazoa; Chordata; Mammalia; Primates; Hylobatidae
Source: RefSeq, a predicted model, not a curated record
CUUUGCUGCAACCAAUGGGCUCCUAGGGCAGGACAUGCAUGGCUAAGGAACAUAGUAAUAAGAUGAAAAUGGACAGAAGAAGGAUUGAAGGAAAGAGAAGAAAAAGGAGAAACUAAGGACAAGGGCUUCAGAUGAAGAGCUCCUAAACACUCCUAAAGACUACCAGUUACACAGAGCUUGCCAAAUGAAAUAAGGAAGGAAAAAAGAAAGAAAUGAGAGAAGGAAGAAAAGAAGGAGGGGG